AGGUCAAGGCUGCAGUGAGCCAAGGUCAUGCCACCGCACUCCAGCCUGGGCGACAGACCUUGUCUCAAACAAACAAGCAAACCAAAACCCUCUUGGUCCCAUUUCCCAAAAAAUGAUUUUUUUGAGAUCUUACCAUCUCCUGGCUUGGUGCAGAGUACAGGAAAUCAAGACAAAGUACAGCACACAAGGAAUAAGGAGGGAGGGAAGUGUGGGGGAGGCUGACUCUGUGGACUCUCCCAGCUCAGUCGACCCAUGCGCCUUGCUUCAUGGAAGAAAGGAAUGGAAGAUGAAUCGUGCCUUUCACACACAGUGACCUUCCUCACUAGUAAAUGCGCCUUCAGAAGUGUCCAAGAGGUCAGUGCCACAGCCAGGCUGGCUGCAUGAGAAUCACCUGCGAGCUUUUGCAAACAUAGGCCCCUAUUGGGUCCACAUGUAUUCAUCUCUUGGAGAGGAGGAGAGAGGCAGAACAAGGAAAAGGAUGGGAAGAAACCAGCCUUGUGCACAGGAGGAUGCUGGGAUUCCUCCUGCACGUUUAGCACAAUGCAGCCUAUUUUACAAGGUCACAGAAGCUCAGAGAGCAGUCCUGGGAAAGAAGCAGAUGUGGUUUCCGAUCCCACUUUCCAGAAGAGGAGACUGAACAGAGGCUUUGCAGAUACACAAAGGACAUGUGAGGACAGGCGAAGGUCAUGAUCAUUGCCAGCCCCUCCCCCAACUUGACAUUCCCAGAUCUGGUGGACUUCCAACCAGAGGAGAGAGAAGGACUGGAUCAUUCAACUCUGCCAUGGAUGCCAGGACCACAUUUUUCCAUGGUUAACUCGGUCACAUCCUGUCUGGGAUCUCCAACUACUACCCAUCCCACAAGUCUCAGCUAAAACAGCAAUUCAAUGAGGAAAUUUUUUCUGAGGCUCCAGGAUUGGGCCAGGCCCACUCCAUGGCUCUCUGCCCUUCCCCUACUGCAGAACUUAGCACCCGUAUGUCACUAUUGGUUCAAACAUGUGUCUUUCGUAUGCUCUCCACGUUAUCUGCAGCAUCUGCCAA
RNAcentral lists this long non-coding RNA (1038 nucleotides) under Homo sapiens (human). Its description in RNAcentral is "HSALNT0068894". The record is from RNAcentral. Lineage: Eukaryota; Metazoa; Chordata; Mammalia; Primates; Hominidae.